GAUGAACGCUGGCGGCGUGCCUAAUACAUGCAAGUCGAGCGAACAGACGAGGAGCUUGCUCCUCUGACGUUAGCGGCGGACGGGUGAGUAACACGUGGAUAACCUACCUAUAAGACUGGGAUAAAUUCGGGAAACCGGAGCUAAUACCGGAUAAUAUAUUGAACCGCAUGGUUCAAUAGUGAAAGACGGUUUUGCUGGCACUUAUAGAUGGAUCCGCGCCGCAUUAGCUAGUUGGUAAGGUAACGGCUUACCAAGGCAACGAUGCGUAGCCGACCUGAGAGGGUGAUCGGCCACACUGGAACUGAGACACGGUCCAGACUCCUACGGGAGGCAGCAGUAGGGAAUCUUCCGCAAUGGGCGAAAGCCUGACGGAGCAACGCCGCGUGAGUGAUGAAGGUCUUCGGAUCGUAAAACUCUGUUAUUAGGGAAGAACAAAUGUGUAAGUAACUAUGCACGUCUUGACGGUACCUAAUCAGAAAGCCACGGCUAACUACGUG
RNAcentral lists this ribosomal RNA (497 nucleotides) under uncultured bacterium. RNAcentral describes it as "partial 16S ribosomal RNA". It matches the Rfam family "Bacterial small subunit ribosomal RNA", at positions 28 to 507 of the family's 1533-position model. The record is from RNAcentral.